Non-coding RNA from Hydra vulgaris (swiftwater hydra), 1881 nucleotides. NCBI's taxonomy places the organism in Eukaryota, Metazoa, Cnidaria, Hydrozoa, Anthoathecata, Hydridae. The record is from RefSeq and is a predicted model, not a curated record.
UUGAAUUUUUUAUUUAGAAUUAUCAUGGUGAGGAUCUUGGAGUUGAAAUGCUGAGUUUUAUGAAAGCAGUGGAGGCUGGAAGACAAUCCAACAAAAAGCAGUUUACUCUAGAUGCACACUUUGUGGUCAAGAACACUAUAAGGAAGGUCAACAAGCAGCCCAUUACUCAAAAGGAAUUGGACCACAAUGUGCAAAUUACAAUUUGAUAAGUCUUUAUUUGCCAUGUUAAAGCGUAAUUUAUUUAUUUGCUAGUCCAGAAUUAUAUUUCUGUUGAUAUGCGGCCAUUUUCUUCGGUCCACAACGCUUGUUUAAGAAGUUUGCUGCUGGCGCUGGUCGACAACCAAGAGAUCAGAAGUCCAAAAUUUUAUCGACAGCUACUAGACAAGGAGUGCGAGGAAAAGACUAAGCUACUGAAAGAAACGUUGGCAGAGCUCUAAUACGUUUGCACCACAGCUGACUGUUGGACAAAAAAUUGCAGAAGCUACAUCGGGAUGACCGUCCACUGGUGGUCUGAUGGUCUCACCCGCCGGAGGGCUUUGCUUGCCAUUUGCCAAACCAAAGAGAGCCACACCUAUGAUGUGAUAGCGAACGCCAUCAACGACAUACACACCGAAUUUGGCAUUGAAAAAAAUGUCGUCGCCACCAUCACGGACAAUGGCUCAAACUUCCUGAAAGCAUUUAACUUUUUUGGAUUGCAACUACUUGAUGAGACCUCUGAUAAUUCUGACGACGGGAAUCUCUCGUCCGAAGAAGGCGAGGUAACGGAGUUUUUUAAAAUAUCGAAGAUUUUGAGUACUGGACCUGCACGCCCUCCCGUACCAGAAAAAAGGCAAUGUCUUGAUUCCGAACAUAGCGAUGAAGAAGCUUCUAACCAGAGCAAUGAUUCCAUUGAGUCCUUAACUGACGAAAUUCGUCUUCCUCCUCAUUUCAAAUGUGGAUGCCACCUACUUAACCAUCCGAGCUCAUUUAGGAAGUUGAAGAGGAAAGUAGAUGGAAAACUGCAAGCAAUCUAGAAUCAUCAGAACAGGAGUUAUUUGAAGUCGGAUCUUAUCAAGUCGACUAUGGGAAAAUUAUUUGUUAUUCACAAUGCCACUCGAUGGAACGGCUACUGCGUCGCUGUGGAUCGGGUCAGAGAUUUCCUUAUCAACAAAAACGAUGCGUUUGAUAAGCUUUGCAAAGACCUUGGUGACAUCAAGAAAUUCACUCAGGCUGAGAUCGAGUACGUCAUCGAGUACACCAUCAUUAUGAAACCCUUGUCUGAGGUUUUAGACCUCUUUCAAAAUGAAUCGAACGUCUCAAUUGGAUGUCUACAUCUUUGGAUAUCUGAACAAGAGCGUUAUUUGGACAUCCGCCUUCUGAAACGUGAAGUCACUGCUAGAAAGGAAAUUCUCCGAGCUGAGAGCUCUCUGUCCGACAGUUCUACCUUUAGCGGAUCGACCGCGAAUGAAAAUCGUGUUACGAAGCAGCGACUGCGGUUCUUGGAUGCCUACAAAAAACGCAGCUCGAGUGAUCUUGAAGAGGUGGAUUAUUACUUCAAUGAGGAACAAGUUGAUCGAUCUCAGCUAGACAAAUAUCCGACGAAUUAAUCAAUUUUCAGGCAGUACAAUACUGCGUUGCCCUCGUCUGCAGCUUGCGAGCAAACAUUUAGUUUCGGAGGACUCAUCUUCACUGUCAAACGGGGGUCAAUGACUAAUAGCACCUUUGAAAAGUUGACUUUAUACAAAAUCAACAACAAUAUUUUCAAAGAUUGGAAUGAGACUCCAUCGACCGUUAAAAAGCGGUCAAAUUACAUUGGUUAAAGUUUUUGACCAAUGUAAUUUGGUUCACAAUAUUCCAUUUGUCAUAUCAGUUAUUGUUUAAUUAAUAAUUGUAUAACAUCUA